This is a non-coding RNA of Rattus norvegicus (Norway rat), 69 nucleotides long. The record is from Rfam. NCBI's taxonomy places the organism in Eukaryota, Metazoa, Chordata, Mammalia, Rodentia, Muridae.
GGGGAUUUAGCUCAGUGGUAGAGCGCUUGCCUAGGAAGCGCAGGGCCCUGGGUUCGAUCCCCAGCUCCG